This 393-nucleotide ribosomal RNA is filed under the name uncultured bacterium. RNAcentral's name for it is "partial 16S ribosomal RNA". It matches the Rfam family "Bacterial small subunit ribosomal RNA", at positions 523 to 918 of the family's 1533-position model. The record is from RNAcentral.
AUACGGAGGAUGCGAGCGUUAUCCGGAUUUAUUGGGUUUAAAGGGUGCGCAGGCGGGCGAUUAAGUCAGCGGUGAAAGGCUCGGGCUCAACCGGAGCAGUGCCGUUGAUACUGGUUGUCUUGAAUGCGGUCAAGGCCGGCGGAAUGUGGCGUGUAGCGGUGAAAUGCAUAGAUAUGCCACAGAACACCGAUAGCGAAGGCAGCUGGCCGGGCCUGCAUUGACGCUCAGGCACGAAAGCGUGGGGAUCGAACAGGAUUAGAUACCCUGGUAGUCCACGCUGUAAACGAUGGACACUCGUUGUCGGCGACAGACAGUCGGCGGCCAAGCGAAAGUGAUAAGUGUCCCACCUGGGGAGUACGGUCGCAAGGCUGAAACUCAAAUGAAUUGACGGGG